UACGUAGGGCGCAAGCGUUGUCCGGAAUUAUUGGGCGUAAAGAGCUCGUAGGCGGCUUGUCACGUCGGGGUGUGAAAGCCCGGGGCUUAACCCCGGGUCUGCAUUCGAUACGGGCAGGCUAGAGUGUGGUAGGGGGAGAUCGGAAUUCCUGGUGUAGCGGUGAAAUGCGCAGAUAUCAGGAGGAACACCGGUGGCGAAGGCGGGUCUCUGGGCCGAUAUUGACGCUGAGGAGCGAAAGCGUGGGGAGCGAACAGG
RNAcentral lists this ribosomal RNA (255 nucleotides) under uncultured bacterium. RNAcentral describes it as "partial 16S ribosomal RNA". It matches the Rfam family "Bacterial small subunit ribosomal RNA", at positions 524 to 776 of the family's 1533-position model. The record is from RNAcentral.